CUGAGUCGGCUUCUUAGGGGUAUAAGAAAAGAAAAGAAAAGAAUCGAUGUUGUAAUAUUAUGUUUAGAAAUCGAUUGUAUAUUUGGAAGUUGAGAAUCAAUGUAAUGAAAAAUGCGAUGUAAAAUGAUGAGAUGAAUGAUUGUAAUAAUAUAGGAUGUGUUAUGUUGUUUGAUACCUUCCUUAUGCAAUCGUUGUUGAUAAUUGUUCCUGUUUGGAACCUCUUGUAAUUGUAUUGAUUGCGACGCCUUGAACGUACAGGGGAGACUCUGUCCGCGUGCAGGGGAAACCCUGUCCGUUCGGCGGUCUGUUGGCGUGCCCGAAUCCGACCAAAGAGGCGGGCUCGGGGCGUGACAGGUAAGAUGGUAUCAGAGCAUAAAGUAGAGAAUGGGAAAGUGGUUUAGAUGAACCUAGGAGACCCUAGGAUAGUAAACCAUAGGAGAUUAAGGCUCGUGAGAGACGAGGACUUGUGACUUUUGGCGAAAGGUUAAG
This 489-nucleotide long non-coding RNA is filed under the name Ananas comosus (pineapple). RNAcentral's name for it is "long non-coding RNA (ACOM_LNC029057)". The record is from RNAcentral. Lineage: Eukaryota; Viridiplantae; Streptophyta; Magnoliopsida; Poales; Bromeliaceae.